Molecule: ribosomal RNA, 385 nt
Filed under: uncultured bacterium
Lineage: Bacteria
Description: bacterial SSU rRNA
Rfam family: Bacterial small subunit ribosomal RNA
Source: RNAcentral
GACGAACGCUGGCGGCGUGCUUAACACAUGCAAGUCGAGCGGUAAGGCCCUUCGGGGUACACGAGCGGCGAACGGGUGAGUAACACGUGGGUGACCUGCCUCUAGCUCUGGGAUAAGCCUGGGAAACUGGGUCUAAUACCGGAUAUGACUCCACGGCGCAUGUUGUGGGGUGGAAAGCCUUGUGUGGCUAGAGAUGGGCCCGCGGCCUAUCAGCUUGUUGGUGGGGUGANGGCCUACCAAGGCGACGACGGGUAGUCGGCCUGAGAGGGCGACCGGCCACACUGGGACUGAGACACGGCCCAGACUCCUACGGGAGGCAGCAGUGGGGAAUCUUGCGCAAUGGGCGAAAGCCUGACGCAGCGACGCCGCGUGAGGGAUGACGGCC